Molecule: ribosomal RNA, 899 nt
Filed under: uncultured bacterium
Lineage: Bacteria
Description: bacterial SSU rRNA
Rfam family: Bacterial small subunit ribosomal RNA
Source: RNAcentral
AGAGUUUGAUCAUGGCUCAGGAUGAACGCUGGCGGCGUGCCUAAUACAUGCAAGUCGAACGAGGUGCUUUUGUAGCAAUACGAGAGUAUCCUAGUGGCGAACGGGUGAGUAACGCGUUGGUGACCUACCCCAAAGUGUGGGAUAACAGUCCGAAAGGAUUGCUAAUACCGCAUGUGGUCAUUGGCUCUAGAAACUGAUGACUAAAGGAGCAAUUCGCUUUGGGAGGGACCUGCGUCCCAUCAGCUAGUUGGUGAGGUAACGGCUCACCAAGGCGACGACGGGUAGGGGACCUGAGAGGGUGGCCCCCCACAAUGGAACUGAAACACGGUCCAUACACCUACGGGUGGCAGCAGUAGGGAAUAUUGCACAAUGGGCGAAAGCCUGAUGCAGCAACGCCGCGUGCACGAUGAAGGCCUUCGGGUCGUAAAGUGCUUUUCUGAGAGAUGAGAAAGGACAGUAUCUCAGGAAUAAGUCUCGGCUAACUACGUGCCAGCAGCCGCGGUAAAACGUAGGAGGCGAGCGUUAUCCGGAUUCACUGGGCGUAAAGCGCGUGCAGGUGGCUUGGUAAGUUAGGCGUGAAAUCUCCCGGCUCAACUGGGAGAGGUCGUCUAAUACUACCGGGCUAGAGAGCAGAAGAGGAAGAUGGAAUUCCCGGUGUAGUGGUGAAAUGCGUAGAUAUCGGGAGGAACACCAGUGGCGAAGGCGAUCUUCUGGUCUGUUUCUGACACUCAGACGCGACAGCUAGGGUAGUAAACGGGAUUAGAGACCCCGGUAAUCCUAGCCGUAAACGAUGUGAACUUGGCGUUGGUGGGUUAAACUCCAUCAGUGCCGCAGCAAACGCGAUAAGUUCACCGCCUGGGGACUACGGCCGCAAGGUUAAAACUCAAAUGAAUUGACGG